CCUACGGGAGGCUGCAGUGAGGAAUAUUGGUCAAUGGACGCGAGCCUGAACCAGCCAAGUAGCGUGAAGGAUGACUGCCCUACGGGUUGUAAACUUCUUUUAUACAGGAAUAAACUGAGGCACGUGUGCCUUUUUGUAUGUACUUUAUGAAUAAGGAUCGGCUAACUCCGUGCCAGCAGCCGCGGUAAUACGGAGGGUCCGAGCGUUAUCCGGAUUUAUUGGGUUUAAAGGGAGCGUAGAUGGGUUGUUAAGUCAGUUGUGAAAGGUUGCGGCUCAACCGUAAAAUUGCAAUUGAUACUGGCAGGAUUGAGGACAGUUGAGGUAGGCGGAAUUCGUGGUGUAGCGGUGAAAUGCUUAGAUAUCACGAAGAACUCCGAUUGCGAAGGCAGCUUACUAAACUGCCACUGACAUUGAGGCUCGAAAGUGUGGGUAUCAAACAGGAUUAGAUACCCUGGUAGUC
RNAcentral lists this ribosomal RNA (460 nucleotides) under uncultured bacterium. Its description in RNAcentral is "partial 16S ribosomal RNA". It matches the Rfam family "Bacterial small subunit ribosomal RNA", at positions 338 to 795 of the family's 1533-position model. The record is from RNAcentral.